GACACGAUGGCCGAGUGGUCUAAGGCGGUAGAUUUAAGCCAAUCUGAAGUCUUGCUCUGCAUUUCUUGGGUCGUUGCGCUCAGAUCUCUACUACAGAAAUGUGCGUGGGUUCGAACCCCACUCGUGUCA
RNAcentral lists this transfer RNA (129 nucleotides) under Didymella heteroderae. It matches the Rfam family "tRNA". From Rfam's summary of the family: Transfer RNA (tRNA) molecules are approximately 80 nucleotides in length. Their secondary structure includes four short double-helical elements and three loops (D, anti-codon, and T loops). The record is from Rfam by way of RNAcentral. Lineage: Eukaryota; Fungi; Ascomycota; Dothideomycetes; Pleosporales; Didymellaceae.